Molecule: transfer RNA, 66 nt
Filed under: Lytta caraganae
Lineage: Eukaryota; Metazoa; Arthropoda; Insecta; Coleoptera; Meloidae
Description: tRNA-Ile
Source: RNAcentral
AAUGAAGUGCCUGAAUUUAAAGGGUUAUUUUGAUAGAAUAAAACACGUAGGAAUCUACCUUCAUUA